GAUGAACGCUGGCGGCGUGCCUAAUACAUGCAAGUCGAGCGAACAGACGAGGAGCUUGCUCCUCUGACGUUAGCGGCGGACGGGUGAGUAACACGUGGAUAACCUACCUAUAAGACUGGGAUAACUUCGGGAAACCGGAGCUAAUACCGGAUAAUAUAUUGAACCGCAUGGUUCAAUAGUGAAAGACGGUUUUGCUGUCACUUAUAGAUGGAUUCGCGCCGCAUUAGCUAGUUGGUAAGGUAACGGCUUACCAAGGCAACGAGGCGUAGCCGACCUGAGAGGGUGAUCGGCCACACUGGAACUGAGACACGGUCCAGACUCCUACGGGAGGCAGCAGUAGGGAAUCUUGCGCAAUGGGCGAAAGCCUGACGGAGCAACGCCGCGUGAGUGAUGAAGGUCUUCGGAUCGUAAAACUCUGUUAUUAGGGAAGAACAGAUGUGUAAGUAACUAUGCACGUCUUGAGGGUACCUAAUCAGAAAGCCACGGCUAACUACGUG
RNAcentral lists this ribosomal RNA (497 nucleotides) under uncultured bacterium. RNAcentral's name for it is "partial 16S ribosomal RNA". It matches the Rfam family "Bacterial small subunit ribosomal RNA", at positions 28 to 507 of the family's 1533-position model. The record is from RNAcentral.